RNAcentral lists this ribosomal RNA (620 nucleotides) under uncultured soil bacterium. RNAcentral describes it as "bacterial SSU rRNA". It matches the Rfam family "Bacterial small subunit ribosomal RNA", at positions 32 to 698 of the family's 1533-position model. The record is from RNAcentral.
AACGCUGGCGGCAUGCCUAACACAUGCAAGUCGAACGAGACCUUCGGGUCUAGUGGCGCACGGGUGCGUAACGCGUGGGAAUCUGCCCUUGGGUUCGGAAUAACAGUUAGAAAUGACUGCUAAUACCGGAUGAUGUCGUAAGACCAAAGAUUUAUCGCCCAGGGAUGAGCCCGCGUAGGAUUAGCUAGUUGGUGAGGUAAAAGCUCACCAAGGCGACGAUCCUUAGCUGGUCUGAGAGGAUGAUCAGCCACACUGGGACUGAGACACGGCCCAGACUCCUACGGGAGGCAGCAGUGGGGAAUAUUGGACAAUGGGCGAAAGCCUGAUCCAGCAAUGCCGCGUGAGUGAUGAAGGCCCUAGGGUUGUAAAGCUCUUUUACCCGGGAUGAUAAUGACAGUACCGGGAGAAUAAGCCCCGGCUAACUCCGUGCCAGCAGCCGCGGUAAUACGGAGGGGGCUAGCGUUGUUCGGAAUUACUGGGCGUAAAGCGCACGUAGGCGGCUUUGUAAGUCAGAGGUGAAAGCCCGGAGCUUAACUCCGGAACAGCCUUUGAGACUGCAUCGCUUGAAUCCAGGAGAGGUGAGUGGAAUUCCGAGUGUAGAGGUGAAAUUCGUAGAUAUU